GACGAACGCUGGCGGCGUGCUUAACACAUGCAAGUCGAACGGAAAGGCCCUGCUUUUGUGGGGUGCUCGAGUGGCGAACGGGUGAGUAACACGUGAGUAACCUGCCCUUGACUUUGGGAUAACUUCAGGAAACUGGGGCUAAUACCGGAUAGGAGCUCCUGCUGCAUGGUGGGGGUUGGAAAGUUUCGGCGGUUGGGGAUGGACUCGCGGCUUAUCAGCUUGUUGGUGGGGUAGUGGCUUACCAAGGCUUUGACGGGUAGCCGGCCUGAGAGGGUGACCGGCCACAUUGGGACUGAGAUACGGCCCAGACUCCUACGGGAGGCAGCAGUGGGGAAUAUUGCACAAUGGGCGGGAGCCUGAUGCAGCAACGCCGCGUGCGGGAUGACGGCCUUCGGGUUGUAAACCGCUUUCGCCUGUGACGAAGCGUGAGUGACGGUAAUGGGUAAAGAAGCACCGGCUAACUACGUGC
This 469-nucleotide ribosomal RNA is filed under the name uncultured bacterium. RNAcentral's name for it is "partial 16S ribosomal RNA". It matches the Rfam family "Bacterial small subunit ribosomal RNA", at positions 28 to 508 of the family's 1533-position model. The record is from RNAcentral.